Molecule: ribosomal RNA, 368 nt
Filed under: uncultured eukaryote
Lineage: Eukaryota
Description: partial 18S ribosomal RNA
Rfam family: Eukaryotic small subunit ribosomal RNA
Source: RNAcentral
CAAUAGCGUAUAUUAAAGUUGUUGCAGUUAAAAAGCUCGUAGUUGGAUUUCUGGUCGGAAGCUCCUGUCCUCUGAUGAGCGUACAAGUGCGUCCUACCAUCCUUCUGUUAACCUUUAAGGCUUUCGCGGCUUUCUAGGGGCUCAGAUAUUUACCUUGAGAAAAUUAGAGUGUUUCAGGCAGGCUAGCGCCGGAAUACAUUAGCAUGGAAUAAUGGAAUAGGACUUUUGCCUCUUCUGUUGGUCAUGAGGCUCGAGUAAUGAUUAAUAGGGAUAGUUGGGGGCAUUAGUACUUAACUGUCAGAGGUGAAAUUCUCGGAUUUGUUAAAGACUAACUUAUGCGAAAGCAUUUGCCAAGGAUGUUUUCAUUA